GUAACACGUAAAGAACCUGCCCUCAGGUCUGGGAUAACCACGAGAAAUCGGGGCUAAUACCGGAUAGGUCAUCGAACCGCAUGGUUCGAGGAUGAAAGGCGCUUCGGCGUCGCCUGGGGAUGGCUUUGCGGUGCAUUAGCUAGUUGGUGGGGUAAUGGCCCACCAAGGCGACGAUGCAUAGCCGACCUGAGAGGGUGAUCGGCCACACUGGGACUGAGACACGGCCCAGACUCCUACGGGAGGCAGCAGUAGGGAAUCUUCCACAAUGGACGAAAGUCUGAUGGAGCAACGCCGCGUGAACGAUGAAGGCUUUCGGGUCGUAAAGUUCUGUUGUAAGGGAAGAACAAGUGCCGCAGGCAAUGGCGGCACCUUGACGGUACCUUGCGAGAAAGCCACGGCUAACUACGUGCCAGCAGCCGCGGUAAUACGUAGGUGGCAAGCGUUGUCCGGAAUUAUUGGGCGUAAAGCGCGCGCAGGCGGCCUCUUAAGUCUGAUGUGAAAGCCCCCGGCUCAACCGGGGAGGGCCAUUGGAAACUGGGAGGCUUGAGUAUAGGAGAGAAGAGUGGAAUUCCACGUGUAGCGGUGAAAUGCGUAGAGAUGUGGAGGAACACCAGUGGCGAAGGCGACUCUUUGGCCUAUAACUGACGCUGAGGCG
Molecule: ribosomal RNA, 655 nt
Filed under: uncultured bacterium
Lineage: Bacteria
Description: bacterial SSU rRNA
Rfam family: Bacterial small subunit ribosomal RNA
Source: RNAcentral